AAGACGGGCGGUCAGAGGGGGCACGGGCUCUGUUCCCUCUGCUCCCUCCUGCAGCAGCUCAGGAACGCUCCUGGGCUCUCUUCAGAACCCUCUGUGCUCACUGUCACCACUCCCUGCUGGGACAUUCCCGAGCAUCACACCCACCCAACCUUCCAGGACUCCCAAACCAGCCCAUCCCAGUCCCUCCUAACCCUUCCCUCCUCUCCCUCGUCAUUUAAUCCCUUUAAAUGUUCACAGGGCUAUUCGGGAUUAGCUUUGUAUUUCUUUUAAGCUUUUUGUGAAGAUGGAAUCAUAGAAAGGUUGGGUUGGAAGUGACCUGGGGCACCUGUGCCAGGGCCUCCCCCUCCUCACAGGGAACAUUUUCUUAUCCUCUCUGAACCAAACUUCCCCUCUUUCAGUUUGAACCAAGCUGUCUCUAAAGUUCUUUAACAACAAUUAUUGACCUUGUGUGAAUUCCUCCAGCUCAUCCAGGUCAACUGGGAAGGAGUGGAAAAUCAAGAAGUGCUCCCUGAUGACACUCAGGCCCCCACUGUGACAAUUCCCAGGAAUAUCCAUGGUUCUGCCUGGCACCAGCAAUGCCAAAACAUCCCACGAGAAAAGCUGUUCCUGCUGCACUUUUGGAAACUGGAGCUUCCAAAAUGAGCUGCUGAGGAUCUGGGACUCGGUUUUUUUCUGGGAUGGUUCAGCCAAGCUCCCAAAACCCUGCAGCAGUGACAGCUGGUUCCUGUCCCCAGGGAUCAGCAGGUCAGUGGGCACCAACAGCUCCAGGCAAGGAAGAAACAGCUCUCCCUCCCUGCUGCUCUCCAGGAGGAACACAAAAAUCAUUGCUUGGUGUGAUUCAGAGAGUGUUGCUGCUGCCUCCUCCUGCAGGAUUUUUAAAAUUCAGCUGUGCUCCUCUAGCUCCUCUGCAGUGUUUAACAGAGGUGAGGGUGAGGAUGGAGCUGCUGCAUCCCAUUCAUUAGCCAGGCCAAGGACUGGGCUAUCUUCAUCCUCUGCCUUGUGUUUCUGCCUGCUGCCCUCUCAGAGAUGUCGGGGAAAUUCAGCCUGGCUUAAACACUCACCCUUGUCCCGGAUCACAGAGAGUUUUACAGACACAGGAAGAGGAGAACUGAACAGAAACCCAGGGACUUUCCCCCUCACCUUCAAACUCCGUUUGGCAGUUCCCAGAGUUCUCAUUCAAGCUCUCCUCCUCGUUGAUGAUGAUGUUCUCGAUGUCCUUCAUGGUGAGGUGGUCGCGGAAGGCGUG
Parus major (Great Tit) is the source of this 1246-nucleotide long non-coding RNA. RefSeq lists it as uncharacterized. NCBI's taxonomy places the organism in Eukaryota, Metazoa, Chordata, Aves, Passeriformes, Paridae. The record is from RefSeq and is a predicted model, not a curated record. The transcript is spliced from 2 exons.